CAGUGGAGGCGCCGCGGAACCGCUGUGGGGAGCGCCGUGCAUGACAGCGGCCUGUGCGCAGGCGCAGAUGGCCGCUCUGAGAGGCUGGGCUGGACGGCGAGGGCGACCUUGGCUGAGGGCCUGGGUGGCGGCCCUUGGCCGUAGCAGUGUCUGCGCGGUCCUGGACGGGUCGCAGUAGCUUUAACACAUGUGAACCUUGGAGGUCAUCAUGUCCAUGAAAAAAAAAGGUGGAAAGACUGAACGUCAGUGGCACUGCUUGAACCCAUCAGAAAACUAAGGUCGCUGGACACAGCUGCCGCCUGUAAUCUGGAAAGAAAGAUACGAAUAGACACAGCAGAGAUCUACUUACUGGAGCAGAAGCUGCAGGUGCCAUAAAUGAUAAUAACUCUUACAAGAUGGGGACCUGAAUCCUGCGCCCUGCAGAGAUCUGGAUUCCUGUCACGGCACGAUGCGAAUGGACAGAGGUGAACAGGUGGAUCCAGAGUUAAGGAUUUUGGCACGUGAUUGGCAGAGAGUGCCAACCUGAGCAUGCCCCAAUAAAAAACCUUGUGCUUCUGUGGACAGAAACAUUGUGAACACGUUGCAGAAGAGGGCAUUCUGUGCAACCCUUCUACGGGAAGGAUAAAGCACCAGGAAGCUUGCCCAUGAAUUCCCCCAGACUCCACCUGUGUCUUUGCCCCUUAUGAUCUGGCCGUCUUGCCUCCAUCCUGCUGCUGUGAUAAAUUGCAGCCAUGAGUGCAACCCUAUGCUGAGUCCCUCAAUUCCUUCCAGUGGAUCUCUGAACAUGACGGUGAUAUUAGGGACCUCAACACAGAGGACCAGCCCAGAAAGUGAACCUGGUCACUUCCAGAACCCAAAUAUACCAUCAACUCCAGCGGGCAGGUAGGACAUACACAUUUGGGCAGAGGAGAAGAGACUUUGCGAAUCACCUACCUGGGGUUUGCAUCCUGUACUGGCAACGGAAAGAUCAUAGAACUCAAUGAGGCAUGAAAUGGAAAUCUUACGGGAACAAAAAAAUAAUAGAUGAAUAUAAAAUGGAGUGGUUUUGAUGGAUACGGUUAGUUAUGGUUUUGAUGGAUUCUAAUGGAAAAUGGGGUAAAAGAUAUAUGAGAGGCCUGAGUAUAUUAGAGAAAAAAUAUUUGACCUUUUGUCUUCUGAGAUGCAAAACUGGUAAAAUAUGCAAAUUGGUAUUAUCUUUUAUUAUAAGGUUAGUGGAAAUCUGUAGAGAUUUUAAAGGGAGGGUAUUUUCUUUAACCCAAAUCUCACUAAUUACUUCAGGAGAGAUAAUACAUUGUUGUCAUGUUACACAUAUUCCACUGCAAAAAUAUUCAUGUCCAAAUUAUAAAAUAUCUGACUCACUGUGCUGCUGGUGCUACUUGUCCACGUGGUACCUUUGUGAAAUUAGCAAAGGGCACUCCUUCCUCAAAAACGUUUGACUGUCAUGUUUCUGGUAAUUGUUAUAAUAAAUACUGUACUUUAUUGCUUUAGCUCUAAGACACUGGCAUUUGCAAGACUUCAUCUUAUUUUGUGUACCACUAAGAAAAACAAAUUCUGCCCACUCGAUAAAUUAGUUAUAAGAUUCCUCCCCAUUUCAGAGAAUCGAUGGAAGAUGAGUAAAUGAAGGUACAAUAUAGGACGUGAUUGUUGUCCUGUUAAGAUGCAGCUGUCCCUGUUGUUCAGUGCACAACAUACACAGCUGCAGGCAUUUGCCCUGCUAACAUCUCAGAUUUUACCUUCAGUGCUGUAUGCCUUUCAGGGUCCUGGCAUUCCUUAAUUCCUCAAACUCUUGAACACAGACCAGAGGCCCCAGGAAUACAGAUAACAUAAGUAGAACAAAACCCAGUUUUCAGGAUCCAUCCUGGGUUCUGUAGCAGCCAGGUCAGGGAAUGAAAACAUAUCCUUAGACUUGGAAGGGGACGGCCCGAGGUCUGUGACUUCUCAGCUGUGUGACAUUGGGCUGGUUAUACCACCUCCCUGAGCUCAGCUUCUUCACCCAUAGAAGCGGGAUAAUAACAUACACCCCUCAGAGCUGAGGAUUGUCCGAUGAUGCAGCUCAUUCAAAGACCUACCUGUGCUUAGGAGAUGCUGGUUCCACUUCACUCAUUCAGAAUCCUUUCAAAACCAUCCGGCAGUGUUUUAUUUGCUUGUCUCUAAGACAUGCAAGGGAUACAACUUGAAGUUUGGGAGCACGCUCUCUGUGCUAGUUAUUAAGCUGCCACUUCAGCUCCAGAUCACACUUGCACAUUUUAAUGGCAAAGGGUG
Non-coding RNA from Microcebus murinus (gray mouse lemur), 2262 nucleotides. The record is from RefSeq and is a predicted model, not a curated record. NCBI's taxonomy places the organism in Eukaryota, Metazoa, Chordata, Mammalia, Primates, Cheirogaleidae.